GAAGAGAGAAGACGAGAGUCCUGGCGACCGAGCGAAUUUCAAUGGGGAGAAGCGACGGAGAAAGGCGCGCUGUUCGCGCAAGGAGUGCCUCGCAGUAGUCUGCGUCUCGCGGUACAGACGCGGGGAGAUACCGCAGGCUGCGACAGGCCGCAAUCGCCUCCGGCUUAGAUAGGCGUCUGAGAGAGGCCUGCGGCGGGAGAAGAAUCUGCUGAAGAAACAAGCCAAAAAGGGAAGACAAACGCGCAGGAUAUGCCACGCACUCUGAAAUUCCGACGGGCUGGCAGGACGGAUGCCUGAACGGCCGACGAAAGUAGAGAGGAAAAAGAGAACAGGGACCCGAAGGAGAAUACAGCGGAACCUUUCCAGGCGGGGACUGUCCACGGAUGGACCUAUCUCAACAGGUGGACUAGUUAUGGUUUUAUUAGAUUUACAUGUAAAUACAGAAUUAUUAUGAUUCUAUGUAUUCUGGGGUGAUAGUGUCUUAUAUCAACAUCUAUUCUGGUUUUUCGGACACACAUACAUGCUAUUUACGUCAUUCGUUGACUGUGUUUACCACGGGGAAUUAGAACGGAAUAUCUUUGCCUCGAGGUUUGUUACGUUCCGUACAGUUGUAGGUAAAAGGUAUGUUAGAGAAUUAGACUAGCGUUGCAGCACAUUGUUUCAUUCGAUAGUCCACGCUGGGCUACAUUGAAACUCAUGGAAAGCCAUGAAACAGAAGUCGAUCCAGAACCACCGUUGUGCACUGGGAGAAUUCGCAUUCGCCUUCUCGGUACCCUUUUCAGCUCGCCAGAUUGAGGCAACAGCACAAGACUGAAAGAAGAGAAGAAAGAGAACAGCAAAGCUUCCGCCGCAGCAACAAAGUUUGAGGUGCGACUGGAAGCAAGUUCUGCGAUGUUUCUCGGCCCACCUUCUCCGGUUCCCUUGUUGACGAGGUUGAAGGAGAACAAGACUCGGCUUUCGUCUCCAUAGGGAUGACCACAACCUUUCGCCGAGGCCUUGCAGCUGCGGUGUACGUACACCUCGCGUCUCUCGCGGAGGGUCGGAGCCGCCAUGGUUCGCGCUGACUCCCUCCCUGUUGGAGACGGUGGAAACUCCCCGAGGAAAGGAAGCAGUUCGACUCUGAGUUAGCUGCCGGAACCCAGCCCCCAGAAGGCCAGACAGAAGCAGCCGCAGACGAAAGCGGGGGCGAACUGGUGAGGGAGAAGUAGAUCGAAGGACCGGGGGCAGAUACAGGUGCGACGAGACUCGCCGCCGACGCAAAAGCAGAGCUCCGUUGGGAUGAAGAAGACGGACGAGACAGGGAAGACCGAGAAGCUUCGCAUAAUCUCCAGACAGAAAAACGAACAGAAGGAGCAAAUCCAGGUGGUCGACAACUCGCGACAGCUUGGCCGCAUGCAAGUGACUCGCUGGCUAGCAGGGCAUACCGCGGACGACGAGGAGACAGAGAGAGUGGCGAGGCAGAGCACGAGGCAGUGGGGAAGGACUGGGCAGAGAAGGACAGAUCAGAGACAGGAGGGCCUCGGUUUACGUGCGACGACAAGGGAGCAGAAGAGUUCGGUGCUUCAGUCCAGAAAGGCGACGGCUGAGAAGCGACGAGUCUCGAGGAGGCCUGACAAUGUGAGGCAUAAGAGGCAGACGACGAAGAGAAGAAAGACGCGGACAGAGGAUACACUGGCUUUACCGACGAAGAAAACAAGGCUGCCAGAGACACCCCAGAGGAGUGGCUUCGUGAGAAACUGUGGCCGCCGGCAUCUCGCAGACUCGAAGCGCUACCGAAUGCGGACGAAGAGAUUGCUCCGCAGGCGCCCGACCCCGAAGAAGCAGCAAGACGACGAGGAGAGACUCGAGAGACUGGCGCCAUGGCUAGACGCAAAGAAAACAGAAAUACAGUGGGAGUCCCAGUGUUUACUUGCUGCCACUUGUAAUCUGCAUCGAGUGCAAAUCAGGCCUGGAAUCAUGCGCGCCUCUGCUCAGCUGUACAUACACCCCAACCUGGCUGCGGUAUAUGUCCACCUCAACUUGAUUCGCCUGUGCUGUUGAUGCCGACGCAGUCACACUUGCAAAUACAUCUCCCUCGACACCUGUCAUCAGCGGCAUUCCACGUGCACUUGCGUUCUGAGUCAUGUACACCUCACGAACUGUCGAGGGUACCAAAACCUGAUAAAAACAUACGAU
RNAcentral lists this long non-coding RNA (2175 nucleotides) under Toxoplasma gondii VEG. The record is from RNAcentral. Lineage: Eukaryota; Apicomplexa; Conoidasida; Eucoccidiorida; Sarcocystidae.